AGAGUUUGAUCAUGGCUCAGAGUGAUCGCUGGCGGCGUGCUUAACACAUGCAAGUCGAGCGAAUUUCAACAGUGUAUCGUUGAAGUUAGCGGCAGACGGGUGAGUAAUACUUGGGCAAUCUGCCCUCGAGAGGGAAACAACCUGCCGAAAGGUGGGCUAAUGUCCCAUAAGACCACAGGGGUGCAUACUCCAGGGGUCAAAGCUCCGCAAGGGGCGCUUGAGGAGGAGCCCGAGUCCUAUCACGGUAGUUGGUGAGGUAACGGCUCACCAAGCCUUUGACGGGUAGCCGACCUGAAAGGGUGACCGGCCACACUGGCACUGAGACACGGGCCAGACUCCUACGGGAGGCAGCAGUGGGGAAUUUUGGACAAUGGGGGCAACCCUGAUCCAGCGACGCCGCGUGGAGGACGAAGGUCUUCGGAUUGUAAACUCCUUUUGGAGGGGAUGAAUGCCUGGGUGAAAAAUCCAGGGUGACAGUACUCUCUGAAUAAGCCACGGCUAACUACGUGCCAGCAGCCGCGGUAAUACGUAGGUGGCAAGCGAUACUCGGAAUCACUAGGCGUAAAGCGCAGGUAGGCGGUUUGGUAAGUCUCUUGUGAAAGCUCCUGGCUCAACUGGGAGAGGUCAAGGGAAACUACCAGGCUAGAGUGCGGAAGAGGAAGCUGGAAUUCCCGGUGUAGCGGUGAAAUGCGUAGAUAUCGGGAGGAACACCUAUGGCGAAAGCAGGCUUCUGGUCCGUCACUGACGCUGAGCUGCGAAAGCUAGGGGAGCAAACAGGAUUAGAUACCCUAGUAGUCC
Molecule: ribosomal RNA, 798 nt
Filed under: uncultured bacterium
Lineage: Bacteria
Description: bacterial SSU rRNA
Rfam family: Bacterial small subunit ribosomal RNA
Source: RNAcentral